RNAcentral lists this ribosomal RNA (253 nucleotides) under uncultured bacterium. RNAcentral's name for it is "partial 16S ribosomal RNA". It matches the Rfam family "Bacterial small subunit ribosomal RNA", at positions 524 to 776 of the family's 1533-position model. The record is from RNAcentral.
GACGAACUGUCCUAACGUUGUUCGGAAUCACUGGGCUUAAAGGGCGCGUAGGCGGCGCGGUAAGUCACUUGUGAAAUCUCUGAGCUUAACUCAGAACGGCCAAGUGAUACUGCAGUGCUAGAGUGCGGAAGGGGCAAUCGGAAUUCUUGGUGUAGCGGUGAAAUGCGUAGAUAUCAAGAGGAACACCUGAGGCGAAGACGGGUUGCUGGGCCGACACUGACGCUGAGGCGCGAAAGCCAGGGGAGCAAACGGG